GUUUGGGGUUGAGGGGCUCACUGGCCAGUUUUUCCAUGUUUCUCAAAUAAAACUCUGGUGUCAUCAAGAAACAUGGUGGAGGGAGACAUGAAGACUUUAGAGACAGGAACCACUGCAGAAAUAUCAGGAGAUGGGGAGACAGAGGAAAGAAAGGAGAGAUCUGUGGAUCCCGUGAGCACCCCAAAUUGGAACCACUCCUUACCGUGUCUCAAGGAAGCAACAGACCUCCAAACUGCAUGGUGUACCUCAAAAGAGCAAGACCCAAGCAAAAAGAAUGCUGCCUGAUUUCCUGACAUUAACAAUGAACACAGCCAGACUCAAGAGGAGGAAGCUACUGGGACCACGGCAGUCAAGGAAACACCAUCAACACCCAGUCUUCCUC
RNAcentral lists this long non-coding RNA (382 nucleotides) under Pan troglodytes (chimpanzee). Its description in RNAcentral is "lincRNA". Lineage: Eukaryota; Metazoa; Chordata; Mammalia; Primates; Hominidae. The record is from RNAcentral.